This 520-nucleotide small RNA is filed under the name uncultured Glomus. RNAcentral's name for it is "SSU rRNA". It matches the Rfam family "Eukaryotic small subunit ribosomal RNA", at positions 569 to 1091 of the family's 1831-position model. Lineage: Eukaryota; Fungi; Glomeromycota; Glomeromycetes; Glomerales; Glomeraceae. The record is from RNAcentral.
AGCAGCCGCGGUAAUUCCAGCUCCAAUAGCGUAUAUUAAAGUUGUUGCAGUUAAAAAGCUCGUAGUUGAAUUUCGGGAUUAAUUUACUGGUCGUGCUAUUGUACGUACUGGUUUUAUUGAUUCCUCCCUUCUGACGAACUAUGAUGUCAUUAAUUUGGUGUCAUAGGGAAUCAGGACUGUUACUUUGAAAAAAUUAGAGUGUUUAAAGCAGGCUCACGCUUGAAUACAUUAGCAUGGAAUAACGGAAUAGGACGUUUGAUUCUAUUUUGUUGGUCUCUAGGAUCGACGUAAUGAUUAAUAGGGAUAGUUGGGGGCAUUAGUAUUCAAUUGUCAGAGGUGAAAUUCUUGGAUUUAUUGAAGACUAACUACUGCGAAAGCAUUUGCCAAGGAUGUUUUCAUUAAUCAAGAACGAAAGUUAGGGGAUCGAAGACGAUCAGAUACCGUCGUAGUCUUAACCAUAAACUAUGCCGACUAGGGAUCGGAUGAUGUUAAUUUUUUAAUGACUCAUUCGGCGCCUUAC